CUCUAGAAAGGGCUGCAGUGUAAAGAAAACAAGCCAUAAACAGUGCAAGACACAUGGACCUCCUCUUUGUGUACUUGUUCUAGAGGCAGGAAGAUUAAUCUGGGAAGAUGCCCAAAGGUUCCAUCCAGUGACUUCUCCCCACAGGGCUCUUAAUCACUGAGAUACAGAUGCCUCCUAUGCCUACAGUAUAUUGGAAGUAGCAGGUACAAGGAUCAAAGACUGCUUGUCAUGAGGACUUAUUUGCUAUUAUCUAGUCUGGCCUUUUUUUUUUUAAACUA
RNAcentral lists this long non-coding RNA (278 nucleotides) under Monodelphis domestica (gray short-tailed opossum). RNAcentral's name for it is "lncRNA (ENSMODG00000038334.1)". Lineage: Eukaryota; Metazoa; Chordata; Mammalia; Didelphimorphia; Didelphidae. The record is from RNAcentral.